UCGUCCGAGAGGGCCCACACGCUCAGAAU
This 29-nucleotide small RNA is filed under the name Bombyx mori (domestic silkworm). RNAcentral's name for it is "ovarian small RNA-29231". The record is from RNAcentral. Lineage: Eukaryota; Metazoa; Arthropoda; Insecta; Lepidoptera; Bombycidae.